AGCGAACGCUGGCGGCGUGCUUAACACAUGCAAGUCAAACGGCCCUCGUGUAGCAAUACGCGGGGGCAGUGGCGAACGGGUGAGUAACACGUGGGUAAUCUCCCCUCGAGUGAGGAAUAAGCUUGCGAAAGCGGGUCUAAUACCGCAUAACACCCCGGGACAUAAGUCUUCGGGGUCAAAGCCGAAAGGCGCUUGGGGAUGAGCCUGCGUCCUAUUAGCUAGUUGGUAGGGUAAUGGCCUACCAAGGCGAUGAUGGGUAGCCGGCCUGAGAGGGUGAACGGCCACACUGGGACUGAGACACGGCCCAGACUCCUACGGGUGGCUG
RNAcentral lists this ribosomal RNA (325 nucleotides) under uncultured Nitrospirota bacterium. Its description in RNAcentral is "bacterial SSU rRNA". It matches the Rfam family "Bacterial small subunit ribosomal RNA", at positions 29 to 351 of the family's 1533-position model. The record is from RNAcentral. Lineage: Bacteria; Pseudomonadati; Nitrospirota.